This is a long non-coding RNA of Planococcus citri (citrus mealybug), 1395 nucleotides long. RefSeq lists it as uncharacterized. The record is from RefSeq and is a predicted model, not a curated record. The transcript is spliced from 3 exons. Lineage: Eukaryota; Metazoa; Arthropoda; Insecta; Hemiptera; Pseudococcidae.
AAAACGCUGCAGCUAAGCUGCUUUUCAGUCUUGCCGCGCAUUCUAUGACCCUGGUUUAUUUACUAUUUCUUUCGCCGUUGCCGCCGCCACCAUCUCCACCACCACCGCAGCGGUCGUCGUCGUCAUCAUCAACAUCAUCAUCAUCAUCAUCAUCAUAAUCAUCAUCGUCGUCAUCGUCAUCGUAUUAGUCGUAGAGUCGUCGUGGUUGUCGUCGUUGUCGUUGGUGUACAAUAUAAAAAUCGUAUCCACCAAUUGGGAAGCGUCAUUUUCCGAAAUUUCCCGGCCUUCUGAAACACCACCUUAGGCCUGAAACUGUUCUACUGAUAUAAAUAUACACAUUCGUUGCGCGGUCAACCUCAUUCUGUUGCGAGUUCGUGCCGGUAUCAGUUGUACGUUUUUAUACACGCUGCUUCGUUUAUUUUAAAAAAUAUAUUUUUUCGCUCAUUUUAUCGAGAUUCUGCGAGUCGCUUGCUUGUGUUCCGGCGGAAAUAUUUUUUAAUCGAUUUUAGCGGUUUUUUAAUUUUGCGAUUAUUUAUUAAUAUUCAAUCAUUAUUCUCGUGUCCAGUAUUUUCAAUUUUUAAAUUCAAUUUUUUUCCUCUCUCUUCGUCCAUCCGUCGUCGAGUUUAUUUUAUUUUGUAUUUUUUAUAUCGAUGGUUAUAAUAAUGGGUCUCGAUCCGACUGGUUUAUAUUAAAAACGAAGUUCAACUGCAACGUCCAGUUUUUGGAGAAUAUUUUCCGGCUGAUUUGCUGCGCGAAGAAACAGAAAAAAAACCACAAGAAAAAAUUCAGUACAUCGCCACUCUCAACACAAUCAUCGUCAAAAUGCGUUUACAAAAUAGAGAAAUUUUGGAUCCUACUGAAGUUUAUUAGCUAAAUGUAUCGGCUACACGAUUGCUCCCGAUUCUACGGAAACCUGGAAAAGCAAAAAAUUACACAAAUGAGAAACACACACUACUUUCAUCAUCACAUAUAAUAAAGAUUCUGAUUUAAUUGCGCAAUUUUAAACUCGAAACAAUGGAAAACAAGGUGUUAAGAUUUUUUAUAUAUUGGAAGCACUCCAAAUACAAACCUUCCAAAUAUGUAUUUUAUAAUUUAUUAUUUUUUAUUGCGUAAAUUUAUUUAAAAUUUAAAACGAAAAAAAAUCGAAAAAGAUAAAAAAAAAUCCGUUGAAAAAAAAAGAGAUAAAAAAGAAAGCAAGUCAAUACGGGAACGAGUAUUCACGUGAAAAUGAAUAUUUAAAAUUAAAAUACAACUAUUUAUUUUAAAUUAAUUUAUUAUUUAUUUUGUAGUCCUUCUUUGUUCUUAUUCAGUAAGGAGUAUUAUGUAAAUAUUGUAUGUACUGAGCAUUUUCAUAUUAAUGCAAAAAAUUAAUAUUUAAUACAUUCAUUUUCAAUA